Non-coding RNA from Pangasianodon gigas (Mekong giant catfish), 73 nucleotides. Lineage: Eukaryota; Metazoa; Chordata; Actinopteri; Siluriformes; Pangasiidae. The record is from the annotation of a GenBank genome assembly.
GUGGUUUGAUAGGGUGUGUAGACGUUUGAUAGGGUCUGUAAAGGUUUGAUAGGGUCUGUUGAGGUUUGUAGAU